This 197-nucleotide ribosomal RNA is filed under the name uncultured bacterium. RNAcentral's name for it is "partial 16S ribosomal RNA". It matches the Rfam family "Bacterial small subunit ribosomal RNA", at positions 1304 to 1500 of the family's 1533-position model. The record is from RNAcentral.
UCUGCAACUCGACUACAUGAAGCUGGAAUCGCUAGUAAUCGCGGAUCAGAAUGCCGCGGUGAAUACGUUCCCGGGUCUUGUACACACCGCCCGUCACACCAUGGGAGCUGGUAACACCCGAAGUCAGUAGUCUAACCGCAAGGAGGACGCUGCCGAAGGUGGGAUUAGCGACUGGGGUGAAGUCGUAACAAGGUACC